This 453-nucleotide long non-coding RNA is filed under the name Brassica napus (rape). RNAcentral describes it as "long non-coding RNA (BNAP_LNC010499)". The record is from RNAcentral. Lineage: Eukaryota; Viridiplantae; Streptophyta; Magnoliopsida; Brassicales; Brassicaceae.
UUUGGUAUCUUCUUCUCCAUGCACCAUUUCUCAUCUCCUCCCGAGCUCACUUCCCUGUUAGUCUCUUCUGCUCCUUCAUUAUCAUUCAUGUGUUGGUGUGAAAGGAGAGAUCAUCUUUAUUGUGUUCGUGUGUUGACGUUGGAGGAUACGAGACGCGCCGUUCACCAUCAAUCACCACCGGAUCCAUUGUAGCUGAUUCCUAUGGAACAAUGGUAGCUCUUGCUCUUGUUGGUGUCAUGUAGCAGAGCUGAGACGUGGGGGAGAGACGAGUGAUGUCGGCGUUGUCGCUUCUCAUCAUCAUGACGCCGAUCCACACCACCACCAUACCAGCCGUGAACUAGUGGACGAGUAUGCCAUGCUACCGGAGAGCCGCGGCGUGUCACCGGCGAUAGUACAUCAUGGAGUCGGAGAUCCAUAACCGUGAGCCUUGCCGUGAGGUUGAGUGGUCUUUAU